AGAGUUUGAUCAUGGCUCAGAUUGAACGCUGGCGGCAUGCCUUACACAUGCAAGUCGAACGGCAGCGCGGGAGCAAUCCUGGCGGCGAGUGGCGAACGGGUGAGUAAUACAUCGGAACGUGCCCAAUCGUGGGGGAUAACGCAGCGAAAGCUGUGCUAAUACCGCAUACGAUCUACGGAUGAAAGCAGGGGACCGCAAGGCCUUGCGCGAAUGGAGCGGCCGAUGGCAGAUUAGGUAGUUGGUGAGGUAAAGGCUCACCAAGCCUGCGAUCUGUAGCUGGUCUGAGAGGACGACCAGCCACACUGGGACUGAGACACGGCCCAGACUCCUACGGGAGGCAGCAGUGGGGAAUUUUGGACAAUGGGCGCAAGCCUGAUCCAGCCAUGCCGCGUGCAGGAUGAAGGCCUUCGGGUUGUAAACUGCUUUUGUACGGAACGAAAAGGUUGUCUCUAAUAAAGACGGCUCAUGACGGUACCGUAAGAAUAAGCACCGGCUAACUACGUGCCAGCAGCCGCGGUAAUACGUAGGGUGCAAGCGUUAAUCGGAAUUACUGGGCGUAAAGCGUGCGCAGGCGGUGAUGUAAGACAGUUGUGAAAUCCCCGGGCUCAACCUGGGAACUGCAUCUGUGACUGCAUCGCUGGAGUGCGGCAGAGGGGGAUGGAAUUCCGCGUAGCAGUGAAAUGCGUAGAUAUGCGGAGGAACACCGAUGGCGAAGGCAAUCCCCUGGGCCUGCACUGACGCUCAUGCACGAAAGCGUGGGGAGCAAACAGGAUUAGAUACCCUAGUAGUCC
This 791-nucleotide ribosomal RNA is filed under the name uncultured bacterium. Its description in RNAcentral is "bacterial SSU rRNA". It matches the Rfam family "Bacterial small subunit ribosomal RNA", at positions 8 to 796 of the family's 1533-position model. The record is from RNAcentral.